RNAcentral lists this long non-coding RNA (1143 nucleotides) under Sus scrofa (pig). RNAcentral describes it as "lncRNA (ENSSSCG00065075231.1)". The record is from RNAcentral. Lineage: Eukaryota; Metazoa; Chordata; Mammalia; Artiodactyla; Suidae.
CCGCCCCGGCCGUGGCGGGCACCCGAGAGGCCGGGCACCCGAGAGGCCGGGCCCUCGCGCGCCACCCGCGCCUCCACCCCGGGCUCUCACCGCUCUCUGGCCGCCCCGCGCCCUGGGCUUAGCCGACCUGGCUUUGUCUGCUCCGUUAACUGGAGAUCGGGCCCCGCCGGGCUGCGGGGUCUCUCCAUCAGCGCGAGGGGUGCCGGUGGCGAGUCCUACCCUAGAGGCGCUGCCAGGAGGGUCAGAUUGAAGGAAAACGGUCCACUCAGUGAAGGAGGAGGAGGAGAGACAGUGAUGAAGGCGCCGGUUACGCGGAGUGAAAAACCCGAGAGGCGGAGAGGAGCGCUGGCACUCGCAGCUGGGGAGGCUGGACAGCGGGCCCAGCUCCCCCCAUCGCGUCUCCCCGGGAUCCUCAGCCAGCGGACUCGGAGGCUCCGUGGACCACAGCAGGGCGUGCAUCUCUGUGUGUGGGGCGGAGCUCUUUCUCCCUUUGCAAAGGUGUAACAGUAAACAUUGGUGUAACAGUAAACAUAGGUGUAACAGUAAACAUAGGCACAGUAAACCACACUCCCCCUUUAAGUUUAAAAUGUGAUACCUCCUGACAAACGUGGGACCACCUCCUCCAUCAAAACAUGUCCAUCGCUCUGGAAAGUUCCCUUCUGCCCUUUGUGGUCACUCCCCUCCCCCGCCCCAGCCACGAGCACCCACAGAUCUAAUUUAUGUUCCUGUUUUGCCUUUUCCAGAAAGUCAUAAAAACGAAGCUGUACAGGACAUGGCCCUCUGUGUCUGGCUUUUUACACAUAGAAUAACACCUUUGAGACGGGCCCACGCUGUUGUAUGCCUCUGUGCUUUGUGCCUCUUUAUUGCCGAGUAUUCUGGUGUAUGCAGAGGCUGCAGUUUUGAUCCCUCCACCCUUGAUGGACUUGGUGAUUAUAAAUGAAGCUCCAUUUAAGUCAUUGUUUAGAUGUGUUUUCUUCUUUCAGGUAAAUACCUAGGACUGGGGUUGCUGAGUCCUGUAACGUGUACGCCGAAAAAGAAACAGCCAGACUGUUUUUCAAAGUGGCUGAGCCAUUUUGCAUUCCCAGCAGGAAUGCUUAAAGGUCAGCUGCAGGUGAGUAUAAUAAAAAACAUCGGAAAAUAACA